UUAAUCUAUUUUGCUAAUUUAUCGUGAUUCUAGAUAAUUAAUUGCAUGAGGUAGAUCUUUAACGCCAAGUGCAAAGGUCUUAGUUUAAUUGGCGAUGUUUGAAGGGGAGGGUAUUGUGACAAGAAUUAAGUAUCAAUUAAUAGUUUAUUUUAUGUCAUUUUAUUUUUUUAUCCUUUAGGAUUGUAUUUAAAGAGAUUGUGCCUCACUUUGAAAAGCAAUCAACAAAUCAAUCAACAAAUGAACAAACAUUUCUUCUCACAAAAACUCUUAUUCUAUUCUCACGUAGUUUCUCAUUUGUACCGAAUUAUAUUCAAUUCAUUAGAAUUCCUACUUUGAAACUUGAUUCUAUCGGUUUCGUCCCUAGAAUUUAAUUUACCCGUUACAAUUGGUAUCA
Molecule: long non-coding RNA, 394 nt
Filed under: Trifolium pratense (red clover)
Lineage: Eukaryota; Viridiplantae; Streptophyta; Magnoliopsida; Fabales; Fabaceae
Description: long non-coding RNA (TPRA_LNC013589)
Source: RNAcentral